AACGAACGCUGGCGGCAUGCUUAACACAUGCAAGUCGAACGAGACCUUCGGGUCUAGUGGCGCACGGGUGCGUAACGCGUGGGAAUCUACCCUUUGCUACGGAAUAACUCAGAGAAAUUUGUGCUAAUACCGUAUGAUGUCGAAAGACCAAAGAUUUAUCGGCAAAGGAUGAGUCCGCGUACCAUUAGCUGGUUGGUGGGGUAAUGGCCUACCAAGGCUACGAUGGUUAGCUGGUCUGAGAGGAUGAUCAGCCACACUGGAACUGAGGCACGGUCCAGACUCCUACGGGAGGCAGCAGUGAGGAAUAUUGCGCAAUGGGGGCAACCCUGACGCAGCAACGCCGCGUGAGUGAGGAAGGUUUUCGGACCGUAAAGCUCUGUCGAGCGGGAAGAAAUGUAUCAUGGCUAAUAUCCAUGAUACUUGACGGUACCGCUAAAGGAAGCACCGGCUAACUCCGUG
Molecule: ribosomal RNA, 459 nt
Filed under: uncultured bacterium
Lineage: Bacteria
Description: bacterial SSU rRNA
Rfam family: Bacterial small subunit ribosomal RNA
Source: RNAcentral